RNAcentral lists this ribosomal RNA (460 nucleotides) under uncultured bacterium. RNAcentral's name for it is "partial 16S ribosomal RNA". It matches the Rfam family "Bacterial small subunit ribosomal RNA", at positions 338 to 795 of the family's 1533-position model. The record is from RNAcentral.
CCUACGGGUGGCAGCAGUGAGGAAUAUCGGUCAAUGGGCGGGAGCCUGAACCAGCCAAGUCGCGUGAGGGAAGACGGUCCUAUGGAUUGUACACCUCUUUAUGCGGGGAGCAAUGCCGGGCACGCGUGCCCGGAGGGAGAGUACCCGCAGAAUAAGCAUCGGCUAACUCCGUGCCAGCAGCCGCGGUACUACGGAGGAUGCUAGCGUUAUCCGGAUUGAUUGGGUUUAAAGGGUGCGUAGGCGGAUUUUUAAGUCAGCGGUAAAAUGUCCGGGCUCAACCCGGGCCGGCCGUUGAAACUGGGGAUCUUGAGUGGGCGAGAAGUAUGCGGAAUGCGUGGUGUAGCGGUGAAAUGCAUAGAUAUCACGCAGAACUCCGAUUGCGAAGGCAGCAUACCGGUGCCCGACUGACGCUGAGGCACGAAAGCGUGGGGAUCGAACAGGAUUAGAUACCCCUGUAGUC